UGGGGAAUAUUGCACAAUGGGCGCAAGCCUGAUGUAGCCAUGCCCCGUGUAUGAAGAAGGCCUUCGGGUUGUAAAGUACUUUCAGUCGGGAGGAAGGUGGUAAGGUUAAUAACCUUAUCAAUUGACGUUACCGACAGAAGAAGCACCGGCUAACUCCGUGCCAGCAGCCGCGGUAAUACGGAGGGUGCAAGCGUUAAUCGGAAUUACUGGGCGUAAAGCGCACGCAGGCGGUUGAUUGAGUCAGAUGUGAAAUCCCCGGGCUUAACCCGGGAAUUGCAUCUGAUACUGGUCAGCUAGAGUCUUGUAGAGGGGGGUAGAAUUCCAUGUGUAGCGGUGAAAUGCGUAGAGAUGUGGAGGAAUACCGGUGGCGAAGGCGGCCCCCUGGACAAAGACUGACGCUCAGGUGCGAAAGCGUGGGGAGCAAACAGG
Molecule: ribosomal RNA, 429 nt
Filed under: Chloroflexota bacterium
Lineage: Bacteria; Bacillati; Chloroflexota
Description: Chloroflexi bacterium partial 16S ribosomal RNA
Rfam family: Bacterial small subunit ribosomal RNA
Source: RNAcentral